GUUUUGAACUCGUUGACAAGCGCCCAGGCGAGUUUUAGCGCGACCAUUGCGCCCGACGAGUCCGGAUUCGCAUAAGAUUCAAGGGCCGGAUGGACAAUCGCGGUAGCCUCGGGCAGCUCGGCACCUGCCUGGUGAUGGUC
Molecule: ribosomal RNA, 140 nt
Filed under: uncultured eukaryote
Lineage: Eukaryota
Description: partial small subunit ribosomal RNA
Source: RNAcentral